AUAAAAGCCCUUUUAUAAAGCCAUUUUUAAACAAAACCAAAAAGUUUACAAAAGAAAAUAAAAGAUACAGAAGAAUGAGUUUGCUUAAUAUAUUCCAAAAAAGGAGGAAAAAAAUAAAAGAAGAGGGGGGGGACACAAUUCCAACAUGCUGAACAAUAAAGGGUUCAUUAUUUUUUUUUUGUUUUUCCUCGUGGUUCUUUUUUUUUAAUACAAAAUACAAGCGAAGGAUACACAGACUUAAAACAGAGCUCAGGAGCAGGUAUGCAGUCCCAGGAACCCUUUUUCAAUCAAAGCAAAGCAGGAAUUUUUUGUUAUUUUAUUAAUUUUUUUUUUGUUUUGUUUUUGUUUUUUUCUUUCUUUGCAGGUACAUACAGAGACUGGGGGAUAAUUCCAAAUUAAUCAGCACGAAAAGACCAGCACACGAUUCUAUACCAAUGAAUGGUUUUUGUAGCUAGAAAUCCACGAACAUGGUGGACACUCAUGUUCACUUCAACCCCUUUUUUUUGUUUUUUAAAAAAAUCAAAAUAAAACAAAAUAAAAAAAGGCGGUUUUGUUGUGGUUUUAAUUUUAAAUAAAGCAUUAAUGUUACAUUCAGACUUAGCUCCUAGUACCAUGCUAGAUCUCAGUGUUGUCAAGAGUUCCCAAUCCCACAGAUUUGUUUGCAGCUGCCCCUUUUUUCCUGCUUUUUUAAAAAUUCAACUAAAAAUUAAUAAUAAUUAAAAAAAAAAAAAAAAAAGGAUAAGGAGGGGACUGCAAAGAGCCUGAUGAUUUUUUUGUUUUAUAUUUUUUUUUUCAUUCUAAAAGCUCACCAGGUGUGUUCGCAGCUGCCCCUUUUCAAAAGGAAACAAAAAAUUAAUAAUAAAAAUUAAAAAAAAAAAAAAAGAUGAGGAGGGGAACUGCAAAGAGCCUGAUUUUUUUUUUUUUAAUAUUUUGUUUUUCUAAAAGCUCCACAAGGAUUGCAGAUACUCAAGACAAAAAAAUAUUCCUUUGCAUACCAGAAAUUGCUGCCAAGUCUCCUCCUCCACCUUCACUCAGGGUUUGCUGCGACACAACAACAAAAAAAUUACGUAGCUCUUAUUUACAAUUUUCUUUUUUUUUUUUUUUUUUUGUAACAAUUGCUUCUGCAGGAAGGGGAGAGAGGAGGGGAGGGGGGGAAGAAGAAAAAGAAAAAAAAAAAGAAGAAGAAAAAAGAAAAUAAAACCUCACAAACGCUGAGGACACAAAGGGAUGGCAGACGCUCCCGCUCGCGCACUCACACACCGAAAAUUGAAAAUUUGGGGUUUUUUCUUUUUUUUUUUUGUUUUUUUUUACACACAUUUAAGUCCGGCUUAAGCUGAUUUGAGGAUCUGCACCCUCCCUCCUCCCUCCCCUCACCCCAAAAUAGAUUUAUAAAAAACCCCGGCCCCACUGUACAGAGCGUUUGCAGCCACACUGAGCGCGCUGGGGCUGGGCUGGGCUCCCCAAAAUCCACCACGGGCUGGGCAAGAGACAGAAAAACCAUUCAGUGCUCGAGGGGGCAAGGUGGGACUGAAUUCAGGCCUGGGCUGGGCUCCCAAAGGCUCCAAAAAGCCCAAAAAUCCCUCAAGGACAAUUUCUGUUCUAUCAGCAAUGGGAUUUACCUCAAAAACUGCAGCUCACAGAUUGAUUUUGGUCAGAUAAACACAGAAUUUUAUCAUUUUUAGGUGAUAAAAGUGUCAGAAAACCUUUCUCCAAACUCAAGAGUUCCAUGAAAAACCAUUCAAUACUCGAGGGGGGAAGGUGGGAUUGAAUUCAGAGCUGAACUGGGCUCAGAAAGGCUCAAAAAAGCCCCAAAAUUCCUCCAGGACCAUUUCUGUUCUAUCAGCAAUGGGAUUUACCUCAAAAACUGCAGCUCACAGAUUGAUUUUGGUCAGAUAAACACAAAUUUUAUGUGACAGAAAACCUCUCCCCAAAUUCACACAAGAGUUCCAUGAAAAACCAUUCAGCUAAUUAAGUUGGAAGGGAUUUAAUUCAGAGCUGGGCUGAAUUAUGGAAUAAAAUAUCAGUUGGGGAGGUCUCUGAAAGGCUCAAAAAAGCCCAAAAAUUCCUCCAGGACCAUUUCUGUUCUAUCAAUUCUGGAUUUACCUCCUAAAACUGCAGCUCACAGAUUGAUUUUGGUCAGGUGAACACAGAAUUUUAUCAUUUUUAGGUGAUAAAAGUGACAGAAAACCUCUCCCCAAACUCAAGAGUGCCAUGAAAAACCAUUCAGUGCUUGAGGAGGGAAGGUGGGAUUGAAUUCAGAGCUGAACUGGGCUCUGAAAGGCUCCAAAAAGCCCAAAAAUUCCUCCAGGACCAUUUCUGUUCUAUCAGCAAUGGGAUUUACCUCAAAAACUGCAGCUCACAGAUUUGUUUUGGUCAGAUAAACACAAAAUUUUAUCAUUUUUAGGUAAUAAAAGUGACAGAAAACCUCUCCCCAAACUCAAGAGUUCCAUGAAAAACCAUUCAAUACUCGAGGGGGAAAGGUGGGAUUGAAUUCAGAGCUGAACUGGGCUCAGAAAGGCUCAAAAAAGCCCCAAAAUUCCUCAUAGACAAUUUCUGUUCUAUCAAUUCUGGGAUUUACCUCCUAA
Long non-coding RNA from Melospiza georgiana, 2585 nucleotides. RefSeq lists it as uncharacterized. The transcript has 3 exons. The record is from RefSeq and is a predicted model, not a curated record. NCBI's taxonomy places the organism in Eukaryota, Metazoa, Chordata, Aves, Passeriformes, Passerellidae.